RNAcentral lists this ribosomal RNA (404 nucleotides) under uncultured bacterium. RNAcentral describes it as "bacterial SSU rRNA". It matches the Rfam family "Bacterial small subunit ribosomal RNA", at positions 354 to 775 of the family's 1533-position model. The record is from RNAcentral.
AUCAGGGAUCUUGCGCAAUGAGCGAAAGCUAGACGCAGCGAUGCCGCGUGGGUGAGGACGUCCUCCGGGAUGUAAAGCCCUUUUCGGGGGGAAGAUGAUGACGGUACCCCCGGAAGAAGCCCCGGCUAACUACGUGCCAGCAGCCGCGGUAAUACGUAGGGGGCGAGCGUUGUCCGGAUUUAUUGGGCGUAAAGGGCGCGCAGGCGGCCGUUUAAGUCCGCUGUGAAAGACCGGGGCUCAACCCCGGAGUGUCAGCGGAGACUGGACGGCUGGGGUCUCGGAGAGGAGCGUGGAAUUCCGGGUGUAGCGGUGGAAUGCGUAGAGAUCCGGAGGAACACCGAUGGCGAAGGCAGCGCUCUGGCCGAGGACCGACGCUGAGGCGCGAAAGCUGGGGGAGCGAACGG